This 586-nucleotide ribosomal RNA is filed under the name Rhodotorula sp. ROV07Q3FBM-02. RNAcentral describes it as "eukaryotic LSU rRNA". The stretch from base 158 to 311 matches the Rfam family "5.8S ribosomal RNA". The record is from RNAcentral. Lineage: Eukaryota; Fungi; Basidiomycota; Microbotryomycetes; Sporidiobolales; Sporidiobolaceae.
AAUCUAGGACGUCCAACUUAACUUGGAGUCCGAACUCUCACUUUCUAACCCUGUGCAUCUGUUUUAAAAUUGGCUAGUAGCUCUUCGGAGCGAACCACCAUUUUUCACUUAUACAAACACAAAGUCUAUGAAUGUAAACAAAUUUAUAACAAAACAAAACUUUCAACAACGGAUCUCUUGGCUCUCGCAUCGAUGAAGAACGCAGCGAAAUGCGAUACGUAAUGUGAAUUGCAGAAUUCAGUGAAUCAUCGAAUCUUUGAACGCACCUUGCGCUCCUUGGUAUUCCGAGGAGCAUGCCUGUUUGAGUGUCAUGAAAUCUUCAACCCACCUCUUUCUUAGUGAAUCUGGUGGUGCUUGGUUUCUGAGCGCUGCUCUGCUUCGGCUUAGCUCGUUCGUAAUGCAUUAGCAUCCGCAACCGAAACUUCGGAUUGACUUGGCGUAAUAGACUAUUCGCUGAGGAUUCCAGACUUGUUCUGGAGCCGAGUUGGGUUAAAGGAAGCUUCUAAUCCUAAAGUCUAUUUUUUGAUUAGAUCUCAAAUCAGGUAGGACUACCCGCUGAACUUAAGCAUAUCAAUAAGCGGAGGAA